GAGACUCUGGAGUGAAAUACCUCUGUGAUCUACUGAUGAACCCAAAAUGCAAGCUGGAAAUACUGGAUCUGUGUGGAUGCAGAAUUACAGAGAAACAGUGUCUGAUCCUGAUUCUAGGUCUGUGUUCAAACCCAUCACAUCUGAGAGAGCUGAACCUCAGUGAGAAUCAAAUGAAAAACUCAGGGGUGAAUCACUUAUGUGAUGUACUGAAGGAUUCACAAUGUAAACUGGAGAGAUUGAGGUUAAGAUACUGCGAUAUAACAGAUGAAGUUGUUCUUCUCUGACUUCAGCUCUGAAAUCAAACCCAUCACACCUGAGAGAGCUGGAUCUUAGUGGGAAUAAAGUAAAAAACAAAGGAGUGAAGCACUUAUGUGACAUACUGAAGAAUUUAGACUGUAAACUGGAGAGAUUGAGCCUAAAUGACUGUGGCAUUACGGAUGUUGCUUGUUUGGCUCAGCAUUUGGCUAAGACGAAAGCUUUGCAUUUUUUAAAAGAACUUGAUCUGAAAAAGAAUAAAAUAGGAAACUCAAGGAAGCAGCUCAGUAAAGCACUUAAAGACUC
This is a long non-coding RNA of Cyprinus carpio (common carp), 561 nucleotides long. RefSeq lists it as uncharacterized. The record is from RefSeq and is a predicted model, not a curated record. Lineage: Eukaryota; Metazoa; Chordata; Actinopteri; Cypriniformes; Cyprinidae. The transcript is spliced from 4 exons.